RNAcentral lists this ribosomal RNA (468 nucleotides) under uncultured bacterium. Its description in RNAcentral is "partial 16S ribosomal RNA". It matches the Rfam family "Bacterial small subunit ribosomal RNA", at positions 28 to 507 of the family's 1533-position model. The record is from RNAcentral.
GACGAACGCUGGCGGCGUGCUUAACACAUGCAAGUCGAACGGAAAGGCCCUGCUCUUGUGGGGUGCUCGAGGGGCGAACGGGUGAGUAACACGUGAGUAACCUGCCCUGGACUUUGGGAUAACUUCAGGAAACUGGGGCUAAUACCGGAUAGGAGCUCCUGCUGCAUGGUGGGGGUUGGAAAGUUUCGGCGGUUGGGGAUGGACUCGCGGCUUAUCAGCUUGUUGGUGGGGUAGUGGCUUACCAAGGCUUUGACGGGUAGCCGGCCUGAGAGGGUGACCGGCGACCAGGCGACUGAGAGACGGACCAGUCUGCUACGGGGGGCAGCGGUGGGGAAUAUUGCACAGUGGGGGGAAGCCUGAUGCGGCAGCGCUGCGUGCGGGAUGACGGUCUUCGGGUUGUGAACCGCUUUCGCCUGUGACGCAGCGUGAGUGACGGUAAUGGAUAAAGAAGCACCGGCUAACUACGUG